AUGCACGCUGGCGGCGUGCCUAAUACAUGCCAGUCGAGCGAACGGACGAGAAGCUUGCUUUUCUGAUGUUAGCGGCGGACGGGUGAGUAACACGUGGAUAACCUACCUAUAAGACUGGGAUAACUUCGGGAAACCGGAGCUAAUACCGGAUAAUAUUUUGAACCUCAUGGUUCAAAAGUGAAAGACGGUCUUGCUGUCACUUAUAGAUGGAUCCGCGCUGCAUUAGCUAGUUGGUAAGGUAACGGCUUACCAAGGCAACGAUGCAUAGCCGACCUGAGAGGGUGAUCGGCCACACUGGAACUGAGACACGGUCCAGACUCCUACGGGAGGCAGCAGUAGGGAAUCUUCCGCAAUGGGCGAAAGCCUGACGGAGCAACGCCGCGUGAGUGAUGAAGGUCUUCGGAUCGUAAAACUCUGUUAUUAGGGAAGAACAUAUGUGUAAGUAACUGUGCACAUCUUGACGGUACCUAAUCAGAAAGCCACGGCUAACUACGUG
This 496-nucleotide ribosomal RNA is filed under the name uncultured bacterium. Its description in RNAcentral is "partial 16S ribosomal RNA". It matches the Rfam family "Bacterial small subunit ribosomal RNA", at positions 29 to 507 of the family's 1533-position model. The record is from RNAcentral.